RNAcentral lists this ribosomal RNA (489 nucleotides) under uncultured bacterium. RNAcentral describes it as "partial 16S ribosomal RNA". It matches the Rfam family "Bacterial small subunit ribosomal RNA", at positions 29 to 507 of the family's 1533-position model. The record is from RNAcentral.
AAUGAACGCUGGCGGCAUGCCUUACACAUGCAAGUCGAACGGCAGCAUGACCUAGCUUGCUAGGUUGAUGGCGAGUGGCGAACGGGUGAGUAAUGCAUCGGAACGUGCCUUUUAGUGAGGGAUAACGUAGCGAAAGUUACGCUAAUACCGCAUAUUCUCUGAGGAGGAAAGCAGGGGACCUCGGGCCUUGCGCUAGAAGAGCGGCCGAUGUUGGAUUAGCUAGUUGGUGAGGUAAAGGCUCACCAAGGCAACGAUCCGUAGCGGGUCUGAGAGGAUGAUCCGCCACACUGGGACUGAGACACGGCCCAGACUCCUACGGGAGGCAGCAGUGGGGAAUUUUGGACAAUGGGCGCAAGCCUGAUCCAGCCAUGCCGCGUGAGUGAAGAAGGCCUUCGGGUUGUAAAGCUCUUUCGGCUGGGAAGAAAUCGCACCCUCUAAUACAGGGUGUGGAUGACGGUACCAGCAUAAGAAGCACCGGCUAACUACGUG